GAUGAACGCUGGCGGCGUGCCUAAUACAUGCAAGUCGAGCGAACAGAUGAGGAGCUUGCUCCUCUGACGUUAGCGGCGGACGGGUGAGUAACACGUGGAUAACCUACCUAUAAGACUGGGAUAAAUUCGGGAAACCGGAGCUAAUACCGGAUAAUAUAUUGAACCGCAUGGUUCAAUAGUGAAAGACGGGUUUGCUGUCACUUAUAGAUGGAUCCGCGCCGCAUUAGCUAGUUGGUAAGGUAACGGCUUACCAAGGCAACGAUGCGUAGCCGACCUGAGAGGAUGAUCGGCCACACUGGAACUGAGCCACGGUCCAGACUCCUACGGGAGGCAGCAGUAGGGAAUCUUCCGCAAUGGGCGAAAGCCUGACGGAGCAACGCCGCGUGAGUGACGAAGGUCUUCGGAUCGUAAAACUCUGUUAUUAGGGAAGAACAAAUGUGUAAGUAACUAUGCACGUCUUGACGGUACCUAAUCAGAAAGCCACGGCUAACUACGUG
RNAcentral lists this ribosomal RNA (497 nucleotides) under uncultured bacterium. RNAcentral describes it as "partial 16S ribosomal RNA". It matches the Rfam family "Bacterial small subunit ribosomal RNA", at positions 28 to 507 of the family's 1533-position model. The record is from RNAcentral.